This 402-nucleotide ribosomal RNA is filed under the name uncultured bacterium. Its description in RNAcentral is "bacterial SSU rRNA". It matches the Rfam family "Bacterial small subunit ribosomal RNA", at positions 355 to 774 of the family's 1533-position model. RNAcentral also lists the same sequence under 1 other name. The record is from RNAcentral.
UGGGGAAUAUUGGACAAUGGGCGCAAGCCUGAUCCAGCCAUGCCGCGUGAGUGAUGAAGGCCUUAGGGUUGUAAAGCUCUUUUGUCCGGGAAGAUAAUGACUGUACCGGAAGAAUAAGCCCCGGCUAACUUCGUGCCAGCAGCCGCGGUAAUACGAAGGGGGCUAGCGUUGCUCGGAAUCACUGGGCGUAAAGGGCGCGUAGGCGGACUUUUAAGUCGGAGGUGAAAGCCCAGGGCUCAACCCUGGAAUUGCCUUCGAUACUGGGAGUCUUGAGUUCGGAAGAGGUUGGUGGAACUGCGAGUGUAGAGGUGAAAUUCGUAGAUAUUCGCAAGAACACCGGUGGCGAAGGCGGCCAACUGGUCCGAAACUGACGCUGAGGCGCGAAAGCGUGGGGAGCAAACA